ACACAUUCUGAGGCAUAAACAGACUUGACUGUGGGAGGAAAAUGACACUGAAUUGUUUUUACAGCACACAGGACGGCGCCAACAGCGACGGUUUCCAGACCUGCCGAGCCUGAUGACUCCUCUGGGAUUGUUGCUUCUGUGAAAGCCACGACAAAGGCCCCGCUGCCGGUCCCUCCUCAGCUGCUCGCCCUCGCCCCACAGCUUGGGGUAGAAGAACAGGCGCCUAAUGUGUUGAGACAAAAGUUACCAUCAGUGGAAGCACAGAGAGACACUGUCCCUGAUGAAGCUCUGCCAAGUCCAGCACCGUCUGUCCCUUUAGAUGUCCCACACCAGCCUGCAGCCUCUGUCCCUGGCUAUGCUCAGGAUGUAGCGCAG
Long non-coding RNA from Perca flavescens (yellow perch), 375 nucleotides. RefSeq lists it as uncharacterized. The transcript has 4 exons. NCBI's taxonomy places the organism in Eukaryota, Metazoa, Chordata, Actinopteri, Perciformes, Percidae. The record is from RefSeq and is a predicted model, not a curated record.